UGAGGGCCGGCUCCGUCGUUCUCAAAGGGCAUUAGUAACAACCUCCAGACCUUCCAAAGGCGGAGGCAACGGAAGGGAGGGGGAGGAUGCAAAACCGAGUGCAAACUGCUCCCUACCAGCAGCUUCGCCUCGGUAUCAAGCCCUUUGCAGCUGAGCGAUCUCGGCACAGCCAGCGUCUCCUGGGUACCCUUCAAAGGCCCGUGCGCCGUCAGCACGGAGACUCAGUAGAAGGCGAGGCGGCAGCGAGGACCUUACCCUAGAGGAGCCCGGGAGCCGCAGCCCCUCCCCGCCAGCCCCGUCGGCCGGCUUCGCGCCGCGGAGCACGGGCGGCCCCGGAAGGCGGAUGUGGUUCCGGGUGGCGCGGCGCCAUGGAUUCGCUGUGGCGGCUGAAGCGGUUCGAUGCCUUCCCCAAGACCCUGGAAGAUUUUCGGGUCAAAACGUGCGGGGGCGCGCUGGUGACGGUUGUCAGCGGGCUCAUCAUGGUGCUGCUUUUCUUCUCGGAGCUGCAGUACUACCUCACCAAAGAGGUUCACCCGGAAUUGUACGUUGACAAAUCGAGGGGAGAUAAACUGAAGAUCAACCUGGACGUUAUUUUCCCACAUAUGCCUUGUGCUUAUUUGAGCAUUGAUGCCAUGGAUGUAGCAGGAGAGCAGCAGCUGGAUGUAGAGCACAAUCUGUUUAAACAACGUUUGGAUAAAGCUGGCAAUCGUGUGACUCCAGAGGCUGAGCGACAUGAGCUGGGGAAGGAAGAAGAAAAAGUGUUUGAUCCAGAUUCUUUGGAUGCCGAUCGCUGUGAGAGCUGUUACGGGGCAGAGUCAGAGGACAUUCGGUGUUGUAAUACUUGUGACGAUGUCAGAGAAGCAUACAGGCGGCGAGGCUGGGCCUUCAAGAACCCGGAUAGCAUAGAGCAGUGCAAGAGGGAAGGGUUUAGCCAGAAAAUGCAAGAGCAGAAGAACGAGGGCUGCCAAGUGUAUGGUUUCCUAGAGGUCAACAAGGUAGCUGGAAAUUUCCACUUUGCACCAGGAAAAAGUUUCCAACAGUCUCAUGUCCAUGGUAAAGUAUUUUCUUUUCCUGCUUAUUGUGACCUUUAGCUUCCAAGUGUAUCUGACCAUUUUCUUUGAAUGUCUUUGCACUGCUAUCCAUAAUAGCGAUGACACUGCUGCGGUGAGGAGGGCAUUGUUGAAGUUUUGUUACAGAGGUUUAGAACCAUCGUGAACAAAUAGAAGUGUUUUCUGGAGGUGCUGCCACAUGGGUGUGGAAGAACUUGGGAGGAGAAUGUUUAUGGGCAGUCUGACAGUCUCACUGGUUCCACAGAACUGCUGCUCUGAUGUACAACAACCUCAAGUAAAUGGUUGGAAGGGACCAUUAAAGGCCAUCUAGUCCAACCCCCCUGCAAUGAGCAGGGACAUCUGCAACUAGAUCAGGUUGCUCAGAGCCCCGUCCGGACUGACCCGAGUGUUCCCAGGGAUGAGGCAUCUGCAACUUCUCUGGCAACCUGUUCCAGUGCCUCACCGCCCUCACAGUAAAAAGUUUCUUCCUUAUAUCUGGUCUGAAUCUACCUUCUUUUAGGUGAAAACUAUUCCCCUUCAUCCUAUCGCAACAGGCCCUGUUAAAAAGUCUGUCCCCAUCUUUCUUAUAAGCCUCCUUUAAGUACUGAAAGGCCACAGUCAGGUCUCCCUGGCGCCUUCUCUUCUCCAGGCUGAACAAGCCCAACGUUCUCAGCCUUUGCUCACGGGAGAGGUGCUUCAGCCCUCAGAUCAUCUCCGUGGCUUCCUCUGGACCUGCUCCGACAGGUCCAUGUCUGUCUUGUCCUGAAGACCCCAGAGCUGGACACAGCACUCCAGCCAAAACAGGGCCAUCUUGCUGCCCUAAGACUCCCUCCUUUGGCUGCUUCUCAAACCAACCUUGGGGAUCUCCAUCCACAAUGUUCCUAUAAGAGAUAAGCAGACACCAGUGUUUUUAAACACUAACGUGCAAUUGCCACAAGGACCUCUGAUGGUCUCCUGAAAAUCUUUUCUUUUGCAAAGCGACUGUUUGGCAUUUCACUUGUUUUAACACAAAUUCUCCUUCCUGCCUUUAUGCAACACUCAUGUGCCUGAAGGAACCAGAAACACUGGAAAUGCGGAAAAACUAAAAGUGUAAAAAAAAAAAAAAAAAAAAAAAAAAAAUUAAAAAUUGUCCACUUGUAAGAAAAGUGUUAUUUUGUCCUUUUUGUUUUGUUUCUGCCUGCGUGAAUGGCGAAUCCAGGUGAGAUGAUUUCGCCUCCCCUGUUGUUGUUUGCGUGGCUGUUUUUCUCUGCUUGUAUGUAACACCUUUGUUCUCAUGUUCUGUUGACGUUGGUUCCGUGUUUAUACACAUGUACCCAACCCAGGUGAAAGUUGUUCUGCACGGUCAUUAAAGACAGCUUUGCAUUCCUUCUGGUUUCUCAUAAUCCCCAGGCCCGGAAGGAAAUGUAAUUUGGAAAUUGAGGGAGGGUGUUUUUCUGUCUUUAGAGAACUGAAGGGAAAGGUCCGGCUCUGCUGGGUUAAUGCAACUUUUAUCCAUCCAUCCAUCCAUCCAUCCAUCCAUCCAUCCCCUAACAUCUCAAACCUUCUCAGAAAAAUGCCUUACCCAAAUCUUAGGUCUCCCCAGACUUAUUUCUUAAAUAUCCAUAUACCGCGGUAGUCUUUAUGCCUGUC
Molecule: RNA transcript, 2678 nt
Organism: Grus americana (Whooping crane)
Lineage: Eukaryota; Metazoa; Chordata; Aves; Gruiformes; Gruidae
Gene name: endoplasmic reticulum-Golgi intermediate compartment protein 3-like
Exons: 8
Source: RefSeq, a predicted model, not a curated record